RNAcentral lists this ribosomal RNA (460 nucleotides) under uncultured bacterium. RNAcentral describes it as "partial 16S ribosomal RNA". It matches the Rfam family "Bacterial small subunit ribosomal RNA", at positions 338 to 795 of the family's 1533-position model. The record is from RNAcentral.
CCUACGGGAGGCAGCAGUGAGGAAUAUUGGUCAAUGGGCGCGAGCCUGAACCAGCCAAGUAGCGUGAAGGAUGACUGCCCUACGGGUUGUAAACUUCUUUUAUAAAGGAAUAAAGUGAGCCACGUGUGCCUUCUUUUAUGUACUUUAUGAAUAAGGAUCGGCUAACUCCGUGCCAGCAGCCGCGGUAAUACGGAGGAUCCGAGCGUUAUCCGGAUUUAUUGGGUUUAAAGGGAGAGUAGAUGGGUUGUUAAGUUAGUUGUGAAAGUUUGGGGCUCAACCGUAAAAUUGCAAUUGAUACUGGCAGCCUUGAGUACAGUAGAGGUAGGCGGAAUGCGUGGUGUAGCGGUGAAAUGCUUAGAUAUCACGAAGAACUCCGAUUGCGAAGGCAGCUUACUAAACUGCCACUGACAUUGAUGCUCGAAAGUGUGGGUAUCAAACAGGAUUAGAUACCCGAGUAGUC